RNAcentral lists this ribosomal RNA (434 nucleotides) under Eremochelis imperialis. RNAcentral's name for it is "partial 16S ribosomal RNA". It matches the Rfam family "Bacterial large subunit ribosomal RNA", at positions 1914 to 2572 of the family's 2925-position model. Lineage: Eukaryota; Metazoa; Arthropoda; Arachnida; Solifugae; Eremobatidae. The record is from RNAcentral.
AAUGAUUAUUUUAAUAGCCGCAGUAUUUUGACUGUGCAAAGGUAGCAUAAUAAAUUGUCUUUUAAUUGGAGGCUGGAAUGAAUGAUAGGAUGUGAUGGUAGCUGUCUUUAUAAUAAUUGAUUGAAAUUUACUUUUUGAUGAGAAGGUUAAGAUUUGAUUGGUAGACGAGAAGACCCUAUCAAGCUUUAUUAUGAUUAUUAGUUUUACUUUUUUGAUUUGUGGGUGGAUUGUAAAUUAUAGUUUUAUUGGGGCAAUGUUUGAAUAUAUCGUAAUUUUUUAUUUUUAAUUAGAGGUUGAUCCGUUAUUAACGAUUUAAGGAAUAAGUUACUGUAGGGAUAACAGCGUAAUUGAUUUGGAGAGUUCAUAUUGGUAAAUUGGAUUGCGACCUCGAUGUUGGUUUAAUGGAUCCUCAGGGUGCAGCAGCUUUGGAGGAG